Molecule: ribosomal RNA, 640 nt
Filed under: Blastococcus sp. I12A-02992
Lineage: Bacteria; Bacillati; Actinomycetota; Actinomycetes; Geodermatophilales; Geodermatophilaceae
Description: bacterial SSU rRNA
Rfam family: Bacterial small subunit ribosomal RNA
Source: RNAcentral
CGAACGGGUGAGUAACACGUGGGCAACCUGCCCUCAGCUCUGGGAUAACUCCAAGAAAUUGGGGCUAAUACCGGAUAUGACUGCUGACCGCAUGGUCUGGUGGUGGAAAGAUUUAUCGGCUGGGGAUGGGCCCGCGGCCUAUCAGCUUGUUGGUGGGGUAGUGGCCUACCAAGGCGACGACGGGUAGCCGGCCUGAGAGGGUGACCGGCCACACUGGGACUGAGACACGGCCCAGACUCCUACGGGAGGCAGCAGUGGGGAAUAUUGCGCAAUGGGCGAAAGCCUGACGCAGCGACGCCGCGUGGGGGAUGACGGCCUUCGGGUUGUAAACCUCUUUCAGCAGGGACGAAGCGAAAGUGACGGUACCUGCAGAAGAAGCACCGGCCAACUACGUGCCAGCAGCCGCGGUAAUACGUAGGGUGCAAGCGUUGUCCGGAAUUAUUGGGCGUAAAGAGCUCGUAGGCGGUUUGUUGCGUCGGCUGUGAAAACCUGAGGCUCAACCUCAGGCCUGCAGUCGAUACGAGCAGACUAGAGUGUUGCAGGGGAGACUGGAAUUCCUGGUGUAGCGGUGAAAUGCGCAGAUAUCAGGAGGAACACCGGUGGCGAAGGCGGGUCUCUGGGCAACAACUGACGCUGAGGA